Molecule: ribosomal RNA, 424 nt
Filed under: uncultured bacterium
Lineage: Bacteria
Description: bacterial SSU rRNA
Rfam family: Bacterial small subunit ribosomal RNA
Source: RNAcentral
UGAGGAAUAUUGGUCAAUGGGCGUAAGCCUGAACCAGCCAUCCCGCGUGAAGGAAGAAGGCGCUAUGCGUUGUAAACUUCUUUUCCAGGGGAAUAAAAUGCAUUACGCGUAGUGCACUGAAGGUACCCUGGGAAUAAGCAUCGGCUAACUCCGUGCCAGCAGCCGCGGUAAUACGGAGGAUGCGAGCGUUAUCCGGAUGUAUUGGGUUUAAAGGGUGCGUAGGCGGAUUAAUAAGUCAGUGGUGAAAACCUGCAGCUUAACUGUGGAACUGCCAUUGAUACUGUUAGUCUUGAGUAUGGUCAAGGUAGGCGGAAUGUGUAAUGUAGCGGUGAAAUGCUUAGAUAUUACACAGAACACCGAUUGCGAAGGCAGCUUACUGGGCCGUUACUGACGCUGAGGCACGAAAGCGUGGGGAUCGAACAGG